Molecule: ribosomal RNA, 486 nt
Filed under: uncultured bacterium
Lineage: Bacteria
Description: partial 16S ribosomal RNA
Rfam family: Bacterial small subunit ribosomal RNA
Source: RNAcentral
GACGAACGCUGGCGGCGCGCUUAACACAUGCAAGUCGAACGGUGACCCUCGGAGCUUGCUUCGGGGUGAACAGUGGCGAACGGGUGAGUAACACGUGAGUAACCUGCCCCUGACUCUGGAAUAAGCGCUGGAAACGGCGUCUAAUACCGGAUACGACACGCCUCCGCAUGGGGAGCGAGGGGAAAGUUUUUCGGUCUGGGAUGGACUCGCGGCCUAUCAGCUUGUUGGUGAGGUAAUGGCUCACCAAGGCGAUGACGGGUAGCCGGCCUGAGAGGGCGACCGGCCACACUGGGACUGAGACACGGCCCAGACUCCUACGGGAGGCAGCAGUGGGGAAUAUUGCACAAUGGGCGAAAGCCUGAUGCAGCGACGCCGCGUGAGGGAUGACGGCCUUCGGGUUGUAAACCUCUUUCAGCAGGGAAGAAGCGAAAGUGACGGUACCUGCAGAAGAAGCACCGGCUAACUACGUGCCAGCCGCCGCGGUAA